CAUUCUGCUUGGCAGAGUCAUCGGUAGAGUAGCUGCUGAUCCCAGCAAGGCAGGGUGGGUGAUGGGAAGGGAUUAGAUUAGGAAGAAAAGGGAUCCUCUUGUUCUCUCACUGAGGGGACUUUAAACCUGCAGAAGCACAUCAGUGAGCGGACUAUGGGAAGGGCGAGAGGACCAAUGAAUAACCAACUUUCUGGAACGGAGGUCUUAGGACCUACAGUCAAACAAAAAUCGUGCCCUCAGAUCCUUCUGACAGUGUGCCAGAUAUCCAGCAUCACCUUUGCAGUUUGGGAAGUGGCACCCAGCAUCCACCCAGCGUGCCUUUCUUGAUCUUGUCCAUGGUGCUGAGAUUCUGUGUGGCCCCCAUGCGGUUGGUCUCGCUCCAUGGGUCUCCAUCCAGGGUGAUGCCCACCCUCCUACCACCUGUGAACAUUUGGUAAUAUCUAGAGACAUUGCUGGUUUCCACCAUUGGGAGUGGGUGCAACUGGCAUCUAGUGGGAAGAGGCCAGGGAUGAUGCUGCACAUCCCAUGUUGCAUAGACCCCCCUCCCACAGCAAAGAAUGAUCUUGUUAAAUGUCAGUAGUGCUGAUGGUACACAGACGAUGUCCCACAGCAAAGAAUAAUCUUUUUAAAUGUCAGUAGCAUCAAGGUUGGGGAAC
This is a long non-coding RNA of Homo sapiens (human), 656 nucleotides long. RefSeq lists it as uncharacterized. The record is from RefSeq and is a predicted model, not a curated record. The transcript has 3 exons. NCBI's taxonomy places the organism in Eukaryota, Metazoa, Chordata, Mammalia, Primates, Hominidae.